Molecule: long non-coding RNA, 1223 nt
Filed under: Gossypium barbadense (sea-island cotton)
Lineage: Eukaryota; Viridiplantae; Streptophyta; Magnoliopsida; Malvales; Malvaceae
Description: long non-coding RNA (GBAR_LNC015519)
Source: RNAcentral
UCAGCUGAACAAAUGAGUUGAUUUCUAAGGCUGGAAGAGUUCAACGUUUUUAGUAGAUAAUGACUUAAAUUCUCUUCAUUAAAUCAGCCUUGAGAAUCCUAAUGAUCAGCAGCAGCAUUAGUGACGUCUUGGCACACAAAACAGCUUCUUUGGGUAGUGUAAAGUUCAGCCUUGAAGAGAGGAAACGCCAAGCAUGUUGUUGGCCGAAUGGCUACUUGAAAAUACCAACCAGCAGCCCUUUGAUGUUCACGAAAAUAGCACUUUUAAUGCUUCAUGUAUUCUCUUUUCAGCAACUAAUUAAUGGACUUCCCUUGCAUGCUGGACAACUCCUUUAAAACAUGUUCUGCUGUACAUUGAAUUCGGCCAGCCACUUUAAUGCAUUCCAGCAUCUCAUUGAAUGGCCGACUCUUGCAUGCCCAACAGCACCUUAAAUACAUGUCUAUGCUUUACAUUAAAUUCGGCCAACACCUUCUUUAUUGCUGCUGUUGAACAUCACCUUAAAUGCAUGUCUAUGCUUUACAUUAAAUUCGGCCAACACCUCCUUUAUUGCUGCUGAUUUAAUUCAUGUCUUUGCUUCCCUUUAAAUGCCGUUCCUUGCAUGUAGAACAACAACUUAAAUGCAUGUCUCCUUUGCCAUUAAGUAGUUGUUUCCAGUUGAAUUAAUUACCUGCAGACACAAAAUAAAUUCGGUCAAGACAUAAAUUAAACCUCAUUAAAUUCGGCAGCCUCCUUUAAUACAUAAUUAACUCAUGCAUGAACAAACAAGUUAAUUAACAUAUUAAAUUCAGCUGGACAAUAAAAAAAACAACAAUAAAUUCGUCACUUUUAAUGAACUUAAGACACAUUUAAUACUACUCUUUAAUUCGGCUGAAACUAAUAAUAAAAAAAACAUUAAUAAAUUCAGCAUAUUAAAUAGAUGUAAUAAAUAAAACACAAUCAAUUAAACUCAAAAAUUAUUAAAGAUGUUCAGAUUUAAACAUAUUAAUUUACUAACACUUAUUUGAGCUGAAUUAAAUAAAUAAACUAACUUAUUCAAUUUAUUUCAGCAAAUGAAAUUAUAAGAAUUAAAAUAAACUCAAAUUGAGCAAAACGAUCCCAUUGAGCUGGAAACGAGCUAAACAAAGCUCAGUGAGAUGCAAUUGAGCUAAUUUAGCUCGUAUGGGUAGACAAGAAAUACUUAUGGAGCUGAUCGAAAAAUGUGCCUGGGGCGUGGUCGUAUCAUC